This 1955-nucleotide long non-coding RNA is filed under the name Crocodylus porosus (Australian saltwater crocodile). Its description in RNAcentral is "lncRNA (ENSCPRG00005009069.1)". Lineage: Eukaryota; Metazoa; Chordata; Crocodylia; Crocodylidae. The record is from RNAcentral.
UUUUCUAAUAUGCUUGGGGCCGAGGGCUGUGUUCUUCAGUUGAAGAUGGAAGCAAAAACCAGUAUAACUUCAUUGGUUUGACCUCAAUCCAAAUCUGCAGGGCUGUGAAAGAGCCAGGAGCAGGCCACAGGAGAGCAGAAAGGCAGAACAAGGGUGGUGGAACAGCACGCCCAGCGGGUCCCAACGCGGUGCCCCCCAAGGUUUAUUUUGCAUUUUCACGAACAGUAAAAACCAGGAUUCCAGCAAAAACGUGCUGUCGUAUUGGCGCUGCUUCUCGUACAGGCGCAUGUGCAUAGGUCCAUGAACGCUGGGCACGCCUGAGCGAGACCCCUGCGAAGAGGGGUGUUAACGCCGAGGAAGCAUCAGGGCGAUGACCACGGGCCGCGAAGUCCAGCGCGGCGCUUGGUCUCGCCGGGGCGCACCUGUCGCGCCCAGGCGAAGGCCCCUCGCAGCGCGGCGAGCCUUGCCCGGGGGGCGCAGCGGCGCGCGGGAAAAGGCGGCGGCGGCGCCCGGCCCGACCCGGUUCCCCAGCUCCCGCGGGAGGGGCCGCGGUGCUCCCGCCCCUUCCCGGGCAGGAUGCGGCGAGCCGGAGCCGGGGACGGUGACUGAGGGAGCAGGGGCUUGAAGGAAGCUGGAGCCUCGCCAUCUCCCUGCCCUGUCAUCGCCUUGCUGUCUGGGCUGGGGUGUGGGCUUGAGGAGACGCCACCAGCUACAUCUCUCCGGCUGGAGUCACUCCGCCCAGCUGGUGAGGCCAGUUAGGAACCGGCAUCCAGAGAGCGCGGCCCACCUUGGUCGUGCCAGCGCAGCAGGCCUCCGCUGCGCUUGGACCAGGCGCGGAGCAGUAAUGCGAAAGGGAGCAAAGACCUUUGCGGUCUCACUUGCCUGGUGAAACGUCCCUAGCGGUUCCCUCCGCUACCCAAAGGCAGCACAAAAAGGGGUUUUGGCAGGAGCUCUGUUCAGCCCUGCUUCACUGGAAGCUGUGAUUGUGACCUGGUGUCUUGAAGGGCAGAAACAAAAGGCAAAUGGAGGAAAUCCUAGGGAGAAUCAGAAGCCUUGAGAAAGCACUUGCCGUGAUAAAAAGAGUAGUUUGCGUUGUUCCCAACCCGGUCGGUUCCACUAGGUUCUGUGAUGCGGCUUGCCUCUGUGUAUUUAACUGUUCAAAGCUACCGACUCAAGCAGCGAACUGAGUAGGAAGAGUUUUGUGUCUGUUUGUUACCUUCUCGUUGUGACUUGUACUGUUACCCACGAGGAAUUUCUAGGAUCUGUGUUUCUGACACCUAGUGUCUGAGGGUGAUUAUCUUGCAGAGUGAAGGAAGUGGGAUAUGUGUGAAUACAAGCUUUAGACAAGUGGUUCUCAAAUUUUUUAGUCUCGAGGCACCCCUUGGAAAAUGCUAGCUUUCACUGAUUUGUUGAGUACAGAAAAAUAAUAGAGAAUUUUUUGUUGCAGAGAAUUAAUGCUGACCUGUUGUGGUCUUUCUGUUUCCACAGCACAGAUGCAGGAUAGGCUGGCCAUGCUUCCUCUACACAGCUAAAUAUUUCACCCUCAUGUUCAUCACUGACAAGAGGUUUGACUUGAAGGGGUUAGGGCCAACCUGGUUUGUUUAGACUUAGAUACCCAUCAGACUAGUUGUUGCAGACCAGGUCCACAUGCAUGCCUACCUACUUUGGUUUAUCUUGUCCCUUGUUGAGCCUUAGUCACAGCACUCUAUGUGGGAUUUGAGAUUACAUCUUUCAUGCCACAGAUGUCUGACAGUGUGCAAGAAAAACUGCAAACAGCAUCCAAGUGCGGCAUGUCUCAACAGGACCACUGUGGCUGUCUUUCAUUCAGUUUCUUGACCCUACCAGUGCUGGUCUUAAAUGCAAGCAUUUUUCCUGUGCAGGCUCUAAAGGACUUUCUACUUCAAAAAUGCAACAUAUAAAAUAAAAAUAUGAGGAACUGGUGGAUUGUGAUUUUG